Long non-coding RNA from Lemur catta (Ring-tailed lemur), 339 nucleotides. RefSeq lists it as uncharacterized. NCBI's taxonomy places the organism in Eukaryota, Metazoa, Chordata, Mammalia, Primates, Lemuridae. The transcript has 4 exons. The record is from RefSeq and is a predicted model, not a curated record.
CUGGUUAUAAAACGAAUACAUUGAAAUAUUUGAGGGUGUGCAGACACACAUACCUGCUAGUGGAGUCCAGAAACCCAGUAAUACCGGAGAGUUGAGGCCAGUCGAGCUCAUCGCUAAGAGCCGUUGGGCUUUUGGCAUUUAAGGCAGAUGCCUCUUAACUUCAACUUUCAUUGGAGAAUUCACAAUGAUCAGCAUCACCCAGGAUCUGGCUUCCGUUCAGCUCUUGUGACACAUGCCGAGCAUAGGGCACCUCAUACACUUAAGAGAGAUGCUCCAGUACACAGGAAACCUCAGUGAGUGGCUACAAGAAGCCCCUGCAUUUCUCAACAUUGAAAAUCC